Molecule: non-coding RNA, 128 nt
Organism: Ceratotherium simum simum (southern white rhinoceros)
Lineage: Eukaryota; Metazoa; Chordata; Mammalia; Perissodactyla; Rhinocerotidae
Source: RefSeq, a predicted model, not a curated record
UUAACCACUACACCAGUGGGCUGGCCCCAAAGUUAGGAUUUUUUAAAGAACUUUUUCUAACUCUGGGAAAUGGUCACUCAGGGACAUUUACAUAUACAUACAAGAGUACAAAAUAACUCUUAAGGGAU